This 1823-nucleotide long non-coding RNA is filed under the name Homo sapiens (human). RNAcentral's name for it is "LHRI_LNC389.1". Lineage: Eukaryota; Metazoa; Chordata; Mammalia; Primates; Hominidae. The record is from RNAcentral.
GGAUAUUUGCAGUAUCUCAGUGGGCAGAAGUGUUACCGGAUGGUGCCAUGCAGUUCCAGGCUCUUGGUGUCUUAAACAAAGAAUUGGAUGAGACACACACAGACAGCAAAGCAAGAAGCAGCAGUUUAUUAAGCACAGUAUCACACUCUUGGAGAGGGAGAGCGAACUGAUCUCUAUGAGGUGAGAUCAGCAUUACUUUGGGUCUUUUUAUGUUUGUUUGUUUGUUUUUUUGUUUUUCUUCGCUUCCCAAGGCUGCCAAAUCUCUAUCCAGUGUCUGCCUUUUUUCGGGGGGAAGGGGUGGUGGUGAGGUGGGGACGAAGUCACCCAAGCUUGAGUGCAGUGGCACAAUCUUGGCUCACUGCAACCUCAACCUUUUGGGUUGAAGCGAUUCUUCUGCCUCUGCCUCCCUGGUAGCUGGGACUACAGGCGCCCGCCACCAUGCCUGGCUAAUUUUUGUAUUUUUAGUAGAGAUGGGGUUUCACCAGGUUGGCCAGGCUGGUCCUGAAUUCCUGACCUCAAGUGAUCCGCCCACCUUGGCCUCCCAAAGUGCUGGGAUUACAGGCGUGAGCCACCGCGCCUGGCCAGUGCCUGCCUUUUUGAUGGUUAAGUAUGUUGCUUAGUUACUUUGACCCAUCCCAUAAUUUUAAGUACAUGGAUAAUAUGCAGUCCAUAUGCAUGAACUUUAAUGAGCUGAUUAUCAUACAGGGUCAUGUUAAGGAUACUUUUUCUCUCUAAUGCACAUGCAUAGCUCUGAAGAACUGCCCCUUACUGGUUUGGUCCAGAUCCUGCUGGCCACGGGUGUCCUUGCUCACUUCUCUAUCUUACUUUUUGUUUUGGCUGCUCAACUUCUGCCUCUUGCUUCUUGCUCACCCGUCCCCUCACCUUGCUUCUGCUCUCUGCUUUUACUUAUUCUGCCCUUUAUCCAACUUUUAAUUCUCUUUGCUAUGCUCCUGCCCCAUUGGUCUAUGCUCCUCCUGCCUCAGAAGGGCUAGACCAUGGCCCAUCUCUUUCCCACAGUCCCCAGUUUGCAAUUAAAAUCAGAAAAAAAAAUGGGAAGGAGAGACUUAAGGAAGCCACAGAAUCUGUAGAAAGGAGGAACUUGUGAACCACAUAUGACCCAGGGGAGCUGACAAGCCCUCUACUCCCACUUCCACAGUUCGGAGAGGAAGACAUCAAGGUCCACAGUGACAAGUGCUAUGGUCUGAAUAUGUCACCUCAAAAUUCAUUUGUUGAAAUUUGAAUCCCCAUGUGAUAGUAUUAGAAGGUAUAAUGAUUUGGGAGGCGAUUAGGCUAUGAGGACUCUGGGAUUAGUCUAAUGGGAUUAGUCCCCUCAUCUGAGAGACCCAGGGGAAUUUGCACAGCCCUUCCACCACAUGAGAACAUAAGGAAAAGGCACCAUCUAUGAGGAAGCAAACUGUCUCCAGACACCAAACCUGCUGGCACCUUGGUCUUGGACUUCUCAGCCUCCAGAACUGUGAGAAAUGAAUUUCUGUUGUUUAUAAACUGGCCAGUUUAUGGUAUUUUGUUGUAGCAGCAUGAAUGGACAGAGAUAGAAAGCGAAUUGCCCAAAUCACACAGGUCUCCUGGGCCCUGUCUCCUGCACCAAUGUCUGCCCAGGAGCCACUUAAUUAAUCUUGUCUGCCCAGGACAGACUGGGCUGGGACAGGGGAAGCUGAUGUUACUUGGAGAGUGAAAGAACUGUCAAGUCUCUCACAUGAGAUAAGGAAAGACAUUUCAUUCAUUCAUUCAUUCAUUCAUUCAUUCGUUCUGUAUUCAGAUUGUGAGCACCCGUGCUGUGCCUUGAGAUUUCCAGCAAAGGGUAA